Molecule: transfer RNA, 69 nt
Filed under: Paenibacillus terrae
Lineage: Bacteria; Bacillati; Bacillota; Bacilli; Caryophanales; Paenibacillaceae
Description: tRNA-Met
Source: RNAcentral
GGCGGCGUAGCUCAGCUGGCUAGAGCGUACGGUUCAUACCCGUGAGGGUUCGAUCCCCCUCAGCUUCCA